Molecule: long non-coding RNA, 162 nt
Organism: Octopus sinensis (East Asian common octopus)
Lineage: Eukaryota; Metazoa; Mollusca; Cephalopoda; Octopoda; Octopodidae
Exons: 3
Source: RefSeq, a predicted model, not a curated record
UUGUGCCUAGAGUAGAAAAGAUUAUUAUUAUUAUUGAGGAGAGCUGGCAGAAUCAUUAGCAUGCUAAGCAAAUUACUUAGUGGCAUUCCAUCCAUCAUUACAUUCCAAGUUCAAAUUCUGCUGACACCAAAUUUGCCUUUUAUGCUUUAGGAGUUAAUAUAA